UUUUUUGCCUAUUUCAGUGUUUCGAAGGAAAAGGAUAUCAAACGGAGUCCAAACGGAAUGAAACCUUCGGGAACGUGAUUUUCGGAACAAACGUGAUCCAGAGGACUUGGAGUGGAUGUCAAGCAACCAACGAGGAAGCCACGAGGUAGGGGCGCGCCCUCCACCCUCGUGGGCCCCUCGUGGCUCCACCGACCUACUUCUUCCUCCUAUAUAUACCUACGUACCCCAAAACCAUCAGAGGCAAAGCCAAAACCCUAUUUCCACCGCCGCAACCUUCUGUACCCGUGAGAUCCCAUCUUGGGGCCUUUUCCGGCGCUCCGCCGGAGGGGGCAUUGAUCACGGAGGGCUUCUACAUCAACACCAUAGCCUCUCCGAUGAUGUGUGAGUAGUUUACCUCUGACCUUCGGGUCAUAGUUAUUAGCUAGAUGACUUAUUCUUUCUUUUUGGAUCUCAAUACAAAGUUCUCCUCAAUUCUCUUGGAGAUCUAUUUGAUGUAACUCUUCUUUUGCGGUGUGUUUAUCGAGAUCCGAUGAAUUGUGGGUUUAUGAUCAAGAUUAUCUAUGAACAAUAUUUAAAUCUCCUCUGAAUUCUUUUAUGUAUGAUUGGUUAUCUUUGCAAGUCUCUUCGAAUUAUCAGUUUGGUUUGGCCUACUAGAUUGAUCUUUCUUGCAAUGGGAGAAGUGCUUAGCUUUGGGUUCAAUCUUGCGGUGCUCGAUCCCAGUGACAGUAGGGGAAAUGACACGUAUUGUAUUGUUGCCAUCGAGGAUAAAAAGAUGGGGUUUAUAUCAUAUUGCAUGAGUUUAUCCCUUUACAUCAUGUCAUCUUGCUUAAAGCGUUACUCCGUUCUUAUGAACUUAAUGCUCUAGAUGCAUGCUGCAUAGCGGUCGAUGUGUGGAGUAAUAGUAGUAGAUGCAGGCAGGAGGCGGUCUACGUGUCACGGACGUGAUGCCUAUAUACAUGAUCAUGCCUAGAUAUUCUCAUAACUAUGCUCAAUUCUAUCAAUUGCUCGACCGUAAUUCAUUUACCCACCGUAAUACUUAUGCUAUCUUGAGAGAAGCCACUAGUGAAACCUAUGGCCCCUGGGUCUAUUUUCCAUCAUAUUAAUCUACCGUCAACAAGCUAUUUCUUUCGCCGUUUAUUUUGCUCUCUUUACUUUUAGUCUUUAUCAUAAAAAUACCAAAAAUAUUAUCUUAUCAUCUCUAUCAGAUCUCACUUUUGCAAGUGGCCAUGAAGGGAUUGACAACCCCUUUAUCGCGUUGGUUGCAAGGUUCUUAUUUGUUUGUGUAGGUGCGUGGGACUUGAGCGUGGCCUCCUACUGGAUUGAUACCUUGGUUCUCAAAAACUGAGGGAAAUACUUACGCUACUUUACUGCAUCACCCUUUCCUCUUCAAGGGAAAACCAACGCAGUGCUCAAGAGGUAGCAAGAAGGGUUUCUGGCGCCGUUGCCGGGGAGUUUACGCACAAGUCAAGACAUACCAAGUACCCAUCACAAACUCUUAUCCCUCGCAUUACAUUAUUUGCCAUUUGCCUCUCGUUUUCCUCUCCCCCACUUCACCUUUGCCUUUUCUUCGCCCUCCUUCUGUUCGAUCUUGUGUUAUCAUGUGCCUUCUGUUUGCUUGCAUCUUCGCUUGCUAAAAGUUUAUGGAUCCUCAUCCCCUUGCUAAUCUUUUUAAGAGAUCCAAUUAUGAUGAACCAAUUUCUAGUGAUUUGAGUGCACUAGAUUAUCUUUAUGAGGUUUUGCUUGAAAUUCGUGAAUCUGAAAAUUGCGAUGAAGUAAUUUAUGAAGUGAUUCACGAUAGCUCCUUGAAUAAAAAACAUGAUUGCAAUAAUUUUACUAUAAAUUCUCUUGAUGUCAAUUGUGCUAAUAAUAUGCAAAACCCUAAGCUUGGGGAUGCUAGUUUUGCUAUGAAUACUAUUUGUUGCAAUGAUCAUGAUUGGGGUGAUUCUUCUUUUGAUCUUGAAAAUUUAUUUAAGCCCCAUGAUGAAUAUGAGAUUGAUAAUAGUGUUUGCAAUAUUAUUGAAAGUGGGUUUGGAAGAUUUUCAACUUUAGAUCCCACAUAUUUGGAGAAUGUUCAAUCUUAUGAAAUUUUUGAUAAAAGUGGGUUUGGAGAGGUCAUGACUUUAGUUAAUGUUAAUCCCACUAUUUUGGAAGAGUGUCAACUUCGCAUGCAUGUGGAUCGUGUUGAGAAUAUGUUAUGUGAUAGCUAUUUUGUUGAAUUUUCUUAUGAUCCUACAUGUAAUUAUUAUGAGAGAGGAAAAUAUGGUUGUAGAAAUUUUCAUGUUACUAAAUUACCUCUCGUUAUGUUGAGAUUGCUAUUGUUUCUUUCCACUUCCUUGCAUAUGCUAGUUUUUGCUUGCCUUGAUAAUUUGUUUGCUUAUAAAAUGCCUAUGCAUAGGAAGUAUGUUAGACUUAGAUGUGUUUGUCACGUGUUUUACGAUGCUCUUUUUGCGCUUUAAUUCUUAUCUUUUAUGUGAGCAUCAUUGAAAUCUCAAUGCCUAGCUAAAAGGGCUUUAAAGAAAAGCGCUUGUUGGGAGACAACCCAAUAUUUAUCCUUGCCGUUUAGUAAUAAAUAUUUGAUCUAGCCUCUGGUUAGAUUUGUUUUAAUGUUUUAAUUAGUGUUUGUGCCAAGUGAAACCUAUAGGAUCUUCUUGGAUGAUAGUUAUUUGAUCUUGCUGAAAAUUCAGAAACUUUCUGUUCACGAAAGCAAUUGUUAAAAAUCACGAGAACGUGAUAAAAUACUGAUUCCAAUUGCAGAAGAUCAAUAAACAAAUUAUCUAGGUCUUCCUAUUUUGGUAGAUUUUUCUAAGUUCCAGAAGUUUGUGUUAGUUACAGAUUACUACAGACUGUUCUGUUUUUGACAGAUUCUGUUUUUCGUGUGUUGUUUGCUUAUUUUGAUGAGUCUAUGGUUAGUAAAAUAGUUUAUAAACCAUAUAGAAGUUGGAAUACAGUAGGUUUAACACCAAUAUAAAUAAAUAAUUAUUUCAAUACAGUACCUUGAAGUGGUGUUUUGUUUUCUUUCGCUAACGGAGCUCACGAGAUUUUCUGUUAAGUUUUGUGUUGUGAAGUUUUCAAGUUUUGGGUAAGGAUUUGAUGGAUUAUGGAACAAGGAGUGGCAAGAGCCUAAGCUUGGGGAUGCCCACGGCACCCCAAGGUAAAUCUAAGGACACUAAAAAGCUAAAGCUUGGGGAUGCCCCGGAAGGCAUCCCCUCCUUCGUCUUCGUCCAUCGGUAACUUUACUUGGAGCUAUAUUUUUAUUCACCACAUGAUAUGUGUUUUGCUUGGAGCGUCUUGUAUGAUUUGAGUCUUUGCUUUUUAGUUUACCACAAUCAUCCUUGCUUUACACACCUUUUGAGAGAGACACACAUGAUUCAGAAUUUAUUAGAAUACUCUAUGUGCUUCACUUAUAUCUUUCGAGCUAUAUAGUUUUUGCUCUAGUGCUUCACUUAUAUCUUUUAGAGCACGGUGGUGGUUUUGUUUUAUAGAAACUAUUGUUCUCUCAUGCUUCACUUAUAUCAUUUUUGAGAGUCCUACAAAACAGCAUGGUAAUUUGCUUAAAUUGUGAAAUUAGUCCUAAUAUGAUAGGCAUCCAAGAUUAGUAAAAACUUUCUUAUAAGUGCGUUGAAUCCUAAGAAAAGUUUGAUGCUUGAUGAUUGUUUUGAGAUAUGGAGGUAGUAAUAUUAAAGUUGUGCUAGUUGAGUAGUUGUGAAUUUGAGAAAUACUUGUUCUAAAGUUUGUGAUUCCCGUAGCAUGCACGUAUGGUGAACCGUUAUGUGAUGAAGUCAGAGCAUGAUUUAUUUAUUGAUUGUCUUCCUUAUGAGUGGCGGUCGGGGACGAGCGAUGGUCUUUUCCUACCAAUCUACCCCCCUAGGAGCAUGCGCGUAGUACUUUGUUUCGAUAACUAAUAGAUUUUUGCAAUAAGUAUGUGAGUUCUUUAUGACUAAUGUUGAGUCCAUGGAUUAUACGCACUCUCAUCCUUCCACCAUUGCUAGUCUCUCUAAUACCGCGCACCUUUCGCCGGCAUCAUAUACCCACCAUAUACCUUCCUCAAAACAGCCACCAUACCUACCUAUUAUGGCAUUUCCAUAGCCAUUCCGAGAUAUAUUGCCAUGCAACUUACCACCGUUCCUUAUAUUAUGACACGCUUCGUCAUUGUCAUAUUGCUUUGCAUGAUCAUGUAGUUGACAUCGUAUUUGUGGCAAAGCCACCAUUCAUAAUUUUCAUACAUGUCACUCUUGAUUCGUUGCAUAACCCGGUACUCCGCCGGAGGCAUUCACAUAGAGUCAUACUUUGUUCUAAGUAUUGAGUUGUAAUUCUUGAGUUGUAAGAAAAUAAAAGUGUGAUGAUCAUCAUUAUUAGAGCAUUGUCCCAAGUGAGGAAAGGAUGAUGGAGACUAUGAUUCGCCCACAAGUCGGGAUGAGACUCCAGACGAAAAAAGAGGCCAAAGAAAAAAAAGAGAAAAGGCCCAAAUAAAAAAAAUGAGAGAAAAAGAGAGAAGGGACAAUGUUACUAUCCUUUUCCACACUUGUGCUUCAAAGUAGCACCAUGAUCUUCAUGAUAGAGAGUCUCCUAUGUUGUCACUUUCAUAUACUGGUGGGAAUUUUACAUUAUAGAACUUGGCUUGUAUAUUCCAAUGAUGGGCUUCCUCAAAAUGCCCUAGGUCUUCGUGAGCAAGCGAGUUGGAUGCAUACCCACUUAUUUUCUUUAGUUGAGCUUUCAUACACUUAUAGCUCUAGUGCAUCAGUUGCAUGGCAAUCCCUACUCACUCACAUCAAUAUCUAUUGAUGGGCAUCUCCAUAGCCUGUGGAUACGCCUAGUUGAUGUGAUCCUAUCUUCUCCUUUUUGUCUUCUCCACAAGCACCAUUCUAUUCCACAUAUAGUGCUAUGUCCAUGGCUCACGCUCAUGUAUUGCGUGAAGAUUGAAAAAGUUUGAGAACAUCAAAAGUAUGAAACAAUUGCUUGGCUUGUCAUCGGGGUUGUGCAUGAUUAAAUACUUUGUGUGAUGAAGAUAGAGCAUAGCCAGACUAUAUGAUUUUGUAGGGAUAACUUUCUUUGGCCAUGUUAUUUUGAGAAGACAUAAUUGCUUAGUUAGUAUGCUUGAAGUAUUAUUACUUUUAUAUCAAUAUUAAACUUUUAUCUUGAGUCUUUUGGAUCUGAAUAUUCAUACCACAAAUAAGAGAAUUACAUUGAAAAUUAUGCUAAGUAGCAUUCCACAUCAAAAAUUCCGUUUUUAUCAUUUACCUACUCGAGGACGAGCAGGAAUUAAGCUUGGGGAUGCUUGAUACGUCUCCAACGUAUCUAUAAUUUUUGAUUGCUCCAUGCUAUAUUAUAUUUUGUUUUGGAUGUUUAAUGGGCUUUAUUAUACACUUUUAUAUUAUUUUUGGGACUAACCUAUUAACCAGAGGCCCAGCCCGAAUUGCUGUUUUUUUGCCUAUUUCAGUGUUUCGAAGGAAAAGGAUAUCAAACGGAGUCCAAACGGAAUGAAACCUUCGGGAACGUGAUUUUCGGAACGAACAUGAUCCAGAGGACUUGGAGUGGACGUCAAGCAACCAACGAGGAAGCCACGAGGCAGGGGGGCGCGCCUACCCACCCUGGGCGGACCCUCCACCCUCGCGGGCCCCUCGUGGCUCCACCGACCUACUUCUUCCUCCUAUAUAUACCUACGUACCCCAAAACCAUCAGAGGCAGAGCCAAAACCCUAUUUCCACCGCCGCAACCUUCUGUACCCGUGAG
Molecule: long non-coding RNA, 5730 nt
Filed under: Triticum aestivum (bread wheat)
Lineage: Eukaryota; Viridiplantae; Streptophyta; Magnoliopsida; Poales; Poaceae
Description: long non-coding RNA (TAES_LNC014142)
Source: RNAcentral